Long non-coding RNA from Diorhabda carinulata, 661 nucleotides. RefSeq lists it as uncharacterized. The transcript has 5 exons. The record is from RefSeq and is a predicted model, not a curated record. NCBI's taxonomy places the organism in Eukaryota, Metazoa, Arthropoda, Insecta, Coleoptera, Chrysomelidae.
CUUGCGUAACCAAGUUACAAUUGGGCAUGUUAAUAACAUUGCAUAAACUAUCUAAUCAAAAGUUUAUUUAGAUAUAAAUAUAUCUGCCAGUUGCGGAGAGCUAUAAAAGUUAUCUAUAGUCAGACAAUACCCUUUACUCAUAAGAGGUCUCAUAAGGUUUAUCACAACUUUGGAGGAAACUAGAAGCUUUUGAAAUUUUUGACCAACCAAAGUAUUCUUGCCAGUAUAAAUUAUUGAGCUCUAAAUAUAUCCAAUUUGGGUUCGCAGAGGAAGUAGACUUUGAUCACAAAUCUGGUGCUCUUGAGAGAUAACCAUAAAACUGUUGUGAGUGUCUUGUCGGUUGGAUGUGUCUGUUUUAAAUAUACUUUCCACUUGUCGUAACAUUUGACGUAUAUACUAAAUAAAAGCUUAGAAGUAUAAUCACAAAAUUUCAUUUGUGUUAGCACCCACUUGUUGGACAACAGAAGAAUAAGUUGUGGUGACUGUUUUGGUGCUGAUGGUGUUGUUUAAGCAGUAGCCAGUAGCAUAGUAUUAAUCGCAUUUGAACGCCAUCAUGCCACCAAAACGGACAUGUAAAUAAACAGAACACCUUAGCAAGGAAUUACACUAAAACCAGAAGUGAUGGCGCUUCUGCCUGACAUGUAACAACAUGGAGGAAAAC